Molecule: long non-coding RNA, 1281 nt
Organism: Bufo bufo (common toad)
Lineage: Eukaryota; Metazoa; Chordata; Amphibia; Anura; Bufonidae
Exons: 2
Source: RefSeq, a predicted model, not a curated record
UAACCUGAAGCUUUUAGACCCCCAAAUACAAACAUAUCACAUGGCCUCCAUUUAGAUUACUGGUCAGAUAUGAAGUGAAGAGACCUUUUGGGACCCUUUUAGGCCUGGGCGCAACCAAUGUGCACCAGUGGCACGGGAUUCAUGCAUGCAUUCAUGUUGACUCUGGUGAACGUUGUAUGGGGGGACAGAUACCACACCGCUCGCACCACUAGGAACACAUCUCCCCCUAUGGAUAGGUCUUUUCAUUCAUAUAUUUGGAUUCUUGUCUAUAUUUUAUCUGUAAGCAGAGGAUAUGGAAUGAAUGUGGGUAGAUGCGGACUUGCCACUUUUUUAGGCUAGCUUCACAUCUGUGGCAGAGUUUCUCUGGAUUCGGCAUUGUUGGAUACUGCCGCCUGCCCACCAGAAUCCAUUGACUAUAAUAGGGUCCGGCAGAGAUCCAGCCACUACCUGGAAAAUGCUGCACGUCUGGCCAACUCUAGCCAUUCUCUGCUAGAACAGCCUGCCGUAGGUGUGACGGUAGCCUUAGCGCCAUUGUCAAACAUUAACAUCCUAUAUGGCACCAUCCGAAUAUAGGAUGUAGGCCGAGUUCCCAUCUGCGUUGAGCUUUCCAUUCUUUGGAUCCUUCAGAAGAACAGAGAAAUAAAAUAAAUAACUGAUCCGUCCUUUUUUCAGCAUCAGUUGAGUCAGUUCUGUCAAACAUCAAUUAUUUCUGAAUGUCAGAUGUCAAUUAUUUUUGACGGAAGAAAAUGUCCUGCAUGCAAGACUUUCUCCCGUUAAAAAUAAUUAAUUAAAUGUCUGACAGAACCGACACCAACUGAUGCUAGAAGCUUCAACGUCUCUGCCUGGCCCCAUUAACUAUAAUAGGAACCAGCAGAGAUCUGGCUGCAACCCUGCCAAUAUGGCGAGCGGUUUUCUUCUGGCCGAUUCACGGUAUAUUUGCCGGGUUCUGGCCGGAUAUCCACUGGACCCAAUUAUAGUUUAAAGCUUCCAGCAAUGCUGGAAUGCAGGGAGAUCCGGCAGGCUGCAUGAGGCCACAGAACGUGCGCCAUACGCUCCCAUAGCUACACCAGCUCUCCUUGACAUAUUUGCAAUUGGUCACUGGCUCCCUCUAGUGGACAAUACACAAUAUGACACACACACAUAUAUAUAUAUGUUCAUAUCAGAAGAUACAUCUGGCAGUCGUAUAAAAGGAAGAAUGUAGUCAACUCGAAUGCAAGCAUAAUUACAGAGAAAUAUAAGUCAAGGGUAGACUUAGCAAUAACCAAGUACAUGAAUGCCGAG